Molecule: non-coding RNA, 56 nt
Organism: Salmo salar (Atlantic salmon)
Lineage: Eukaryota; Metazoa; Chordata; Actinopteri; Salmoniformes; Salmonidae
Source: Rfam
UGCACUCAAUACUGUAAGUUGCUCUGGAUAAGAGCAUCUGCUAAAAAUGACUUAAA